This 253-nucleotide ribosomal RNA is filed under the name uncultured bacterium. RNAcentral describes it as "partial 16S ribosomal RNA". It matches the Rfam family "Bacterial small subunit ribosomal RNA", at positions 524 to 776 of the family's 1533-position model. The record is from RNAcentral.
UACGAAGGGGGCUAGCGUUGCUCGGAAUCACUGGGCGUAAAGGGCGCGUAGGCGGCCAUUCAAGUCGGGGGUGAAAGCCUGUGGCUCAACCACAGAAUUGCCUUCGAUACUGUUUGGCUUGAGACCGGAAGAGGUGAGUGGAACUGCGAGUGUAGAGGUGAAAUUCGUAGAUAUUCGCAAGAACACCAGUGGCGAAGGCGGCUCACUGGUCCGGUUCUGACGCUGAGGCGCGAAAGCGUGGGGAGCGAACAGG